GACGAACGCUGGCGGCGUGCUUAACACAUGCAAGUCGAGCGGAAAGGCCCUUUCGGGGGUACUCGAGCGGCGAACGGGUGAGUAACACGUGAGUAAUCUGCCCUUGGCUUUGGGAUAACUACCGGAAACGGUGGCUAAUACCGGAUACGACCAAUCACUGCAUGGUGUGUUGGUGGAAAAGUUUUUUCGGCCAGGGAUGUGCUCGCGGCCUAUCAGCUUGUUGGUGGGGUAAUGGCCUACCAAGGCUUCGACGGGUAGCCGGCCUGAGAGGGUGACCGGCCACACUGGGACUGAGACACGGCCCAGACUCCUACGGGAGGCAGCAGUGGGGAAUAUUGGACAAUGGGCGGAAGCCUGAUCC
This 361-nucleotide ribosomal RNA is filed under the name uncultured bacterium. Its description in RNAcentral is "bacterial SSU rRNA". It matches the Rfam family "Bacterial small subunit ribosomal RNA", at positions 28 to 389 of the family's 1533-position model. The record is from RNAcentral.